RNAcentral lists this ribosomal RNA (320 nucleotides) under uncultured eukaryote. Its description in RNAcentral is "partial 18S ribosomal RNA". It matches the Rfam family "Eukaryotic small subunit ribosomal RNA", at positions 1470 to 1796 of the family's 1831-position model. The record is from RNAcentral.
CCCCUAGAUGUUCUGGGCCGCACGCGCGCUACACUGAACAGUUCAACAAGUCUUAACCUUGGCCGAUAGGUCUGGGUAAUCUUUGAACGCUGUUCGUGAUUGGGAUAGACCUUUGCAAUUAUGGGUCUUCAACGAGGAAUUACUAGUAAACGCAAGUCAUCAGCUUGCAUUGAUUACGUCCCUGCCCUUUGUACACACCGCCCGUCGCACCUACCGAUUGAAUGGUCCGGUGAAAUCUCGGGACGGCGGCUUGGUCGCUUGCGUCCGACUGCUGAAACUUGAUUAAACCAUAUCAUUUAGAGGAAGGUGAAGUCGUANCA